Molecule: long non-coding RNA, 3003 nt
Organism: Colius striatus (speckled mousebird)
Lineage: Eukaryota; Metazoa; Chordata; Aves; Coliiformes; Coliidae
Exons: 4
Source: RefSeq, a predicted model, not a curated record
GACCGGCAGCCGCAGUGUUCGCGCAGCCCCCUCGCUCCCCGCCCGUUCCCGCUGCCCCGCGCGGGGCUCCCACGGCCGCACGUCGGGCGCGGGGCUCCGGUUGCGGCACGGCGGGGCUCGCCGAGCUCCCACCAGCGCUAUCCCAGUCCUCCCGGCCCGGCUUUCUCCCCAUCCCCGGCCGAGCCCCGCGCAGCUCCCGCCCGUCGCAGCCCGGGGACCGUCGGGGCGGCGGCACCGUGGCGGGGACUCACCACCACGAGGAGUCGGCGCGGGGCGUCAGGGCGAGCAGCAGCAGGACGAGGGGCAGGCAAAGGCGCGGGGCUGUGCCCGCCGUCCGAGGGAAGGCUCCGCACUCCGCACGCCCGGGGGCCAAGGCAAUCCCAGGAGACGCUUCCAGGAGAUAACCUGGAAGGCUUUGGGGUGGCUGAUUCUGAGUUGGAAGAGAAACAGGUCUCAAAGUGUUGUGCAAAGACAGAACUCCAUCUCUCUUGCCAAGUGACCCCCUGGGAACCUGCCUGCCAGAAGGAGAAAUGGCACAAGAGGAAAUACAUCUUCCCAGUCUGGAGAGAGGAGAAAGGGCUUGGAAUCCCAGCCCAUAAACAGCAGCGUUGCUGAGAGCAGAGUGCUGACGGGACCAGCUGGGCAGCCAUCACCCAUUUUCCUCAGUGGAUAAGAACAAGAGGCUUGGAACAUCUUUCUUGUGAGUAAAGGCUGUGAGACCUGGAGCUGUGCAGCCUGGAGAAGACUGAAGGGAGACCUCAUCAGCACUUGUAAGUACCUAAAGGGUGGGUGUCAGGAGGAUGGGGCAAUAGGUUUUUUUCCUGUAGCAUCCAGCAAUAGGACAAGGGGUGAUGGACAGCAGCUGGAACACAAAACGUUCCCCUUAACCACAAGCAAAAACUCCUUUGCUGUGAGAGUGAGGGAGUGUGGGGACCUGGAAUGUCUUCUUGGGACAGCAGACGGGUGCUGGAGCCUUCCUCCGGUGCUGAGCUCCUGCUGGGGAUGGAGCAGCGAGACAGCUCCUGCCGAGAGAGCUGGGAACGGCUGCUGCAGUGGGACAGCGACGGAAACCCGCAGCUCUCCUGGUGAGAUGGGCUGUGACCAGGCACCCCCUGCGGGAGGGGUACCCUGGGAGGGGGAUGCCGUGUGAUGAGGGAUGCCGUGUGAUGAGGGAUGCCCUGUGAUAGGGAUGCCCUGAGCCAUGGCUGCUCUGCCAGGGGGAUGCCCUGUGAUGAGGGAUGCCCUGUGACAGGGAUGCCCUGAGCCAUGGCUGCUCUGCCAGGGGGAUGCCCUGUGAUGAGGGAUGCCGAGUGAUGAGGGAUGCCCUGUGACUGGGAUGCUCUGAGCCACGGCUGCUCUGCCAGGGGGAUGCCCUGUGAUGAGGGAUGCCGUGUGAUGAGGGAUGCGCUGUGACUGGGAUGCUCUGAGCCACGGCUGCUCUGCCAGGGGGAUGCCGUGUGAUGAGGGAUGCGCUGUGAUGAUGGAUGCCGUGUGGUAAAGGAUGCCCUGUGACUGGGAUGCCCUGAGCCGUGGCCGCUCUGCCAGGGGGAUGCCGUGUGAUGAGGGAUGCCGUGUGAUGAGGGAUGCCCUGAGCCAUGGCUGCUCUGCCAGGGGGAUGCCCUGUGAUGAAGGAUGCUGUGUGAUGAGGGAUGCCCUGUGACUGGGAUGCUCUGAGCCGUGGUCGCUCUGCCAGGGGGAUGCCGUGUGAUGAGGGAUGCCCUGUGACUGGGAUGCUCUGAGCCGUGGCCGCUCUGCCAGGGGGAUGCCCUGUGAUGAGGGAUGUGCUGUGAUGAAGGAUGCUGUGUGAUGAGGGAUGCGCUGUGACUGGGAUGCUCUGAGCCGUGGCCGCUCUGCCAGGGGGAUGCCGUGUGAGGGGCAGCCGCAGCCCUGCUCUCCCCUCCCCGGCAAACGCGGCCUCGGGACGAAGCGGCCGCACACAGGCAGGAGGGAGCAGUCCCGGCCCCUCCCGGCCCCUCCCGCUGCCUCCGGCCCCUCCCCGGUGCGUCCCGGUGCCUCGGGGCCGGUUCCCGGGCUCAGGGCUCCCUCUCGCGGCCCCGUCCCCCAGCCCAGGUGCCGGCUCUGGCCGCAGCCUCAGCCCCGGCUGCCGCGGGCUCAGCGCAGAGCAGCGUUCCUGGGCGGCUGCGGGGUUUGGCCAGUGGCACGGCACGGCCCUGAAACGCCAUCAAGCCUGAAGAGGUGAACGAAGAGCUUCCUCCCAAGUGGCUGCAAAACACGUUCAGCUGAGCUGAUGUAAAGAAAUCGCGUCGGUAGUGAGGAUUGUACCCGGGAGUCAGGGCAGCUGGGGGCUCUGCCUGGCGCUGGGCUGGGGGGCCGGUGGGUGCUCACAUGAGCUAUGGAGAGGUCAGUGCCCUCCCAGGGCUGGGACGGGAGGCAGUGACACAGCUGAGCUGUGCUCUUCCAAGGCUGAGACAUUUCCCAGGAGAAAUGGAUCCCCCUGGCACAGGGAGUUCCCUCCCCAGCCCAGGAUGGGCAUUGGUGUAACACCCCCAACAGGGGAGCAGCUCAGAACCCUGACACUGGGGCAAAGGGCUUUGACUUUCUAGGGCAAUUGUUUUCACUUAGAAGUGCCCAAAAGCCUGAGUUGCCCCAGGAAACCUCCUGAGGGGCAUCACCAGCACUCUCAGGGCUGGGAGCAGGAUGAACACUCCAGCCCAGCCCACACUGCUCCAGGAAAUUUGCUUUCUUCUGCCCUUUAAAACCUGGAUGAGUUCCUGUGUGACCUGCUCCAGCUGGUCCUGCUCUGGCAGGGGACUUGCACUGGAUGUGUGGAGCCUCAUUUUUGCCCCUGAGCCCUGAGGUACAACCUCCUAGGAGGGCUCCUGCCCCUCAGCCUCAGCCCACACUGUCCUGGCUCCAAACACCUUCCUUAAGCAAUUUGCACAUCUGAAAAAUAAACUCCUUUAUUGAUAAUAUGAAUUGUUUAACAUGUUUAAUGCCAUCAGCUAUAAAACCCCCCCCAUGAUUAAAGACUUCAGCUUGGUA